UUUUCUUGUGACUCGUUCACCUUGAUUCUCUAAGCAAUAGUUUGCUGAAGGGGUCUUAAGCCUUAGCUAUUGCACAAAAGCACGAGGAGAAAGUAUCCUUUACCCAGAGUAAAACUAGCCUAAAUAGGAGGGGCCACUUGCACCUGGUGGUUGGCUUGCAGCGAUGAGGAACCUCAGCUACCCUGUCAUAUAUCGGAGGUGAGCGCUAGCUACUCUGCAUCUCCCCUCCCUUUGAGUCACUGAAGAACGAAGAACGUCAGAGGACUGCUGUGACCACGGGGCCUCUUGGGCAGUGGCAUCUUGGCUGAGGAACCAGACUCUCAUGGGGGGACUACAGCUCCCAUAGGGCACUGCAGCUGCCUGUCUGAACCAAAACGCACAGGUUUGAGCUGAGAAUGGUUUUCGGCUUCUGAUGGCAAACCAGAAUCGUUUAUGCAUCCGUCAACUAGUAAGUCCCUCUGCAUGUGGGAUGUUCACCGUGGGACCUGGGGUGUUUGCGCUGGGGAAGAGAGACCCGAGUUCUCAAGCGGCAGCUACGCAACCAGGCUUUCUGUGGAAGAAGAUGAAUAAGAAGCGACCUUCUGACCAAAACACAAAUUUUAAAAAUCGCACAAGAACACAGGAUCCUGACAUGUUCUGGUCUCAAGGAGGUUAAAUAAAAAUAAUAAAAAAAGAAAGCCCAGAAGCAGCAGCAGUGAAAAAUGGAGUGCAACUUUCCCAGACUCCGUAAAAUAUUCCUAUCAGUUCUUCCUUGCUUUAAAAGACAGCACCCUACCUAUGACUUAUACUUUUACAAAACUGGAAAAAGUUGAUAUUGAGAUCAAAUUCCCAAAGUGAGGCUGAUUCUUCAUUAAGAAACAGUUUCCUGGAUUUGGACAUGAUUGAGUACUGGUGAGAUCUGCAUAAAAAAUGAAACCUGAACUCUGUUCCUCAAAGCUUUUUCUAAUUUCCAUGUGCUGAUCAGCUGGACAAUUGUACAUCCCUCAAGACAUACUCAAGGUACAAGAAGCAGAUUGCAAAAGUCACUCACUAGGCGAAUAAUAAUUUAAGGGUGAGAGUGUGAGAGAGAACGAGUUGCUGGGCUGCUGCUUUUCCUACACUCCUUUGAAAUCUGGGGGAAUCUACCCCUCAAAUGAUUCAUGUGCAACUAUUGUCAUCAUGUCUUGCCACGAAAAAGACUUUUUGAAGCCCUUGGCAACCUGACGCCACCUCGUAAGUGCAAGUGCAAAGGUCUUUUCCAUCUCUAAUUGCUAAGAGGCCUUGAGUUAGCCAGAACACGGAAGACAGGAAGGCUCCAUUAGAAGGAAAUAGUUCAUCCUGUGAAAAGGAGACUGUAAGGAAGACAAAAUGCAUUUACCUUAUUAAAUAAAAGUGUAAUUAGCUGGAAGGAAAUGUGAAAGGCGUUAAGAACAAAAAAGAAACCCUUUUUUCUGAGGUGGGAAGACCACCAAUAGUCACCAAAGUGGAGAGAAAUUUAUAGUAGUGUGGGGGAGAGUCUGUUUGGAGAUACUUUAAUGGUAAUUUUUAGGAAGAAUUUACAAGCAUACUCUGCUACCGAGUGGAAAAAUACAUUGGCCACAAAGAAAUUGCUGUUUGCCAAGCCUAAUGAUUCAUUUCUGAGUCAUAAAUAAUAGGUCCCUAAUGACAAAGGGUAUAAGAGUGGUUGUCUCUUGCCAACUAUUUAUUAGAAAAUAGAGCUAAAUCAUUAGCUGGGAGCUCUCUUACCGGAAAGCUGAAACCACAUUUCUCUAUGAAAGGUCAUAAGCUAUUUCCACAAGAAUUUAGACAAAACAUUAUUGCAUUUUAAAUCUUUCAUCUUUAGCACCAAAAAAAAGCAGGGAAAAAAAGCAAUCGGUUCACCAGAGAACUCCAAUUUGUCAUGGGGCAUCCCUUGAGAUCCAAAAGGGUAAGCAAAGAAUAGAGGGAGUUUUGAAACACCAGCAGCAGUGUCUUCUGAGAAAAUGGAAAUUAAUUGGCUUCGCCUCCUUCAGAGACCUUCCCCACACGGUCCUCCACAGCCUGCUGGGACGCUGCAGCUCAAGACGAAGGUGUCAUUAUUGACAAACCAUAAGGUGUCCAUGGCCCAGCUACUGCACCACGACCUCAUGGCCAGUGCUGGCUGAUUUUAACCGCUCGCUAUCGCUGCAGCCACCAUCGAUCACUUUGCAUGUGUGAAGAAUAAUGGUGCCCCAGGGUUUGAGGGCGUGCAUCAGCCGUGGUUCUCAGAGGCCUUUUUCAGCAUGAAUGCAUGAGCCCUUGGUUCAGAGAAGUGCCUCGGUGUCUGCUUAAUUCCUGCUGACUUCAAAGUGGGUGAACAUUUAAAGUUAAGCCCACCUGAACGCGCUUUGUUGGAGCAGAGUCUCUUGUCUUCUACUGGUCCAGGGGAAAAGGUGUGAGUAAGCUUCUCUCUAAAAGGGAAGGCAAACUGAGGCACAAGGAGACAUGAGCUGAGCCAUUUUUAUGGCUGAAGGGAGCCACUUGUAAUGACUUCUCUCAGAGAGAUGGGUGCCUGGAGAGAUGAAACACCCAUGACUGUGCAGGCAGUUAAUGUAGAUCCAGUUUCCCACAGACAUGGUUGAUGCGGUUUGGCCUACACAAUUUGAGCGAGGAAAUCCUGGGAGUUGGUGGCAGGGGUCAGAAGAGCAGCUUUGGAAGAAUUCAUCUCACCUCCCUUCAGCUCUCCAAAUACAGCCCGUGGGCUGUGGGUGUGCUCUAGACUCCUCUACAGCCCAUGAGGGACACCGUGCCCUGGGUGGUGGGCCAUCUCCUCUACCUUUGGUGAGGAACGGAGUGGGAUGCUCAGCUUUCUGCAAGUGCUUCUCUCUGUGCUGGCUGCAGAGGCAGCUGGGAUGGUUGAGUGAGACUGGACACGGGCCAUUGUUUAUCUCCUAUAUGCCUAACGAGCAAAACCAGCCCUUCCCACAUUGACUCUCAGUCAUGUGCUCUUCCUUGGACGGAUGUCUCUGCUGGUCCCAACUCCUCAGUGUCAUGUACAACAUCUGACUGAGGCCACAGCAGAGAAGCCAGAGGAGACACUGUGCAAGUCAUACUGCUUGUGAAAGGAAGCGGUUGCAUGGAGACCCGUGCACGAAGCUGGACGUGGCUGAAGACAAGGCUGAAUUGUUUCCCCGUAAACAGCCUGUUCUGUGUCUCUGCUGACCCCGUGGAUUCCAGGCCCGGUGCCUCGCACCAAAGGGCAGGGAGAUGGCUGUCACCAGCAGAAAACCAUUCCAAAGCUGUGGAUGGCAGGAGAAGGAAAAGUCAUCCUUUCAGAUGUGCUUCACAUUUUUGAGGAAGAAGAAAAAAAAAAAAAAAGGCUGUGUAUUUUACCCCUGAUUUUUCAAGGGAAAUCAACAAUUCUAAAACAACUUUUGUCCUCUGACAAAUAUAUGACAAAAUAACGUCUGCCCUCAAUGUUGGGGAUGUUGGUGAAAUGUUACUUUUCCAUGAGCUCUGUUUCCUUGGA
This is a long non-coding RNA of Dromaius novaehollandiae (emu), 3466 nucleotides long. RefSeq lists it as uncharacterized. The transcript is spliced from 8 exons. Lineage: Eukaryota; Metazoa; Chordata; Aves; Casuariiformes; Dromaiidae. The record is from RefSeq and is a predicted model, not a curated record.